Heterocephalus glaber (naked mole-rat) is the source of this 1143-nucleotide long non-coding RNA. The record is from Ensembl. Lineage: Eukaryota; Metazoa; Chordata; Mammalia; Rodentia; Bathyergidae.
CUGCAGCAGCCCUUUCUGGGGGAGCCUCGGCGUUCCAGGCAGCUGUGGCCAGGCCUGAGUCAGUGGGAGCCCCGGGCCGCCCCGCCCUGGGGCGGAUUAGCUAAUUAUUAAAAAGUGCUCCGGCAGCACAAAGGGCAGGAGGACGCGCCGCCCUGCUCCGCCUGCUGGGAGCUGGCACUGACCGGAGGGAGCUCGGCAGGAGGGGACAGACCGAGCCGCCCCUUCCCGACACGCGGGCUGCCCCUGGGCGUGGACUUUUGCGCCCAGCCUCUCCGGGAGAAGCCAACUUUACUUUGUGGUUAGACUGUAAGGUCUUUAGGAUUUCCUUUCUCUGUGUCACACAUUAAAAGUGGAGAAUCAUAAUGAUAAUCCCAUUUGGAUUUAUGAACAGUUGAAUAGACUAUUGAAAAGAUGCCUUAAUCAAGAAAUAAAUUCACUACAGAAUUGCAUUCAGGGUGGGACAACUACCUUUACCCAUGGAUUUUCUAUCGCUUCAGGGAAAACUCUUCGAUGUUUGAAUUAAGCACCACAUCUGGAAACAAAAGAAAACGAUUACUUUCACUAAGUGCUAUCUAUGUCUCUAGGACUAUGGACAAAAUUUGCUUACAUUCUGUCAAAAUUCCAUCCACUUUUGAAGGUUACAGGCCAGGCUGGAGUCAAGGGAGAAGAAAUAGCGUCUACUUCUUGGUGGGAAGACCAGUAUGCACAUAUAGGGAGAGAAGAAUCAGCACUGGCCUUCUUUGGAGUCUCUCUGAGAAGGGGGAAGAUGAAGGAUGACACGGUCUGCUUGUCAGGUCACAAAAGACAACACCUUAACCAUCCAACAACUUCCCAUCCACCAUAUUGAAGAACAGGAAGAGGCCAGAGAGCUAACUGGAGAGCCUGGGAAUGGGUCUUCAUGGCAAUCCCUGGACAGCACUGCAAUUUACUCCACAAGAAAGGCUCCAGGAAGGGCUGGAAAGUUGUAACAAAAUAAAGAAGUUGUAUUAGGUAAAAUUAAAAGAAGUUAGAAUAAUGGCACAUUCAGGGAUGGUGGUUACCUCUCCAGGAGAGAAGGGGAUGUGGAGUCCACAGGGAGCCUCGCCAUUCAGCUAAGCUUUUAUUUCUAAAGUUAGGGGUUGGAUGCAUAGGUGUUGUUGUAUU